This 681-nucleotide ribosomal RNA is filed under the name Triticum aestivum (bread wheat). Its description in RNAcentral is "partial small subunit ribosomal RNA". The record is from RNAcentral. Lineage: Eukaryota; Viridiplantae; Streptophyta; Magnoliopsida; Poales; Poaceae.
AUGGAUGUUAAAACAGCAUUCUUAAAUGGAAUGUUGGAAGAAGAAAUAUACAUGAACCAACCUGAAGGUUUUGUGGAAAGGGGGAAUGAAGGGAAGGUCUGUAAAUUAAACAAGUCCAUAUAUGGUCUUAAACAAGCCUCACGCCAGUGGUAUAUUCUUUUCGAUAAUGCAAUCACGUCAUAUGGUUUUUCAAUGACGGAAGGCGACCAUUCUAUCUAUUUUAGGAUUAUGGGAAAUAAAUUUGUAUUGUUAUCUCUUUAUGUUGAUGAUAUUCUCAUUGCUUCAAAUGAUAAAUCUACACUGAUGGAAGUUAAAACCUGGUUAUCCUCUAAAUUUGACAUGAAGGAUAUGGGGGAAGCUUCCUAUGUUCUAGGAGUGGAAAUACGUAGAGAUAGAAGGAAGAGAAUGUUGGGUUUGUCUCAAAAGGCAUAUCUCAAUAAUGUACUUCAGAGAUUCUCUAUGGAAAAUUGCAAGCCUGUUAAAGUACCUAUUCUUAGGGGAACUAAACUUAGUGAGGAAAUGUGUGCUAAAACUCCUGAGGAAAGGAAACAAAUGAGCAAUAUUCCUUAUUCAUCUGCAUUGGGUUCUUUAAUGUAUGCUAUGCUAUUUACAAGACCUGAUAUUUGCCAUGCCGUGGGUUUGUUGAGUAGAUAUCAAGUGAACCCUGGAUCUGAGCAUUGA